AUACGGAGGGUCCAAGCGUUAUCCGGAUUCAUUGGGUUUAAAGGGUCCUCAGGCGGGAAAAUAAGUCAGUGGUGAAAGCCUACAGCUCAACUGUAGAACUGCCAUUGAUACUGUUUUUCUUGAGUAUAGAUGAAGUGGGCGGAAUAUAUCAUGUAGCGGUGAAAUGCAUAGAUAUGAUAUAGAACACCGAUUGCGAAGGCAGCUCACUAAACUAUUACUGACGCUCAGGGACGAAAGCGUGGGGAGCGAACAGGAUUAGAAACCCUAGUAGUCC
Molecule: ribosomal RNA, 274 nt
Filed under: uncultured bacterium
Lineage: Bacteria
Description: partial 16S ribosomal RNA
Rfam family: Bacterial small subunit ribosomal RNA
Source: RNAcentral